CCUACGGGCGGCAGCAGUGGGGAAUAUUGGACAAUGGGGGGAACCCUGAUCCAGCCAUGCCGCGUGUGUGAAGAAGGCCCUCGGGUUGUAAAGCACUUUCAGUGAGGAAGAACGCCUGGUGGUUAAUACCCAUCAGGAAAGACAUCACUCACAGAGAAGCACCGGCUAACUCCGUGCCAGCAGCCGCGGUAAUACGGAGGGUGCGAGCGUUAAUCGGAAUUACUGGGCGUAAAGCGCGCGUAGGUGGCUUGAUAAGCCGGUUGUGAAAGCCCCGGGCUCAACCUGGGAACGGCAUCCGGAACUGUCAAGCUAGAGUGCAGGAGAGGAAGGUAGAAUUCCCGGUGUAGCGGUGAAAUGCGUAGAGAUCGGGAGGAAUACCAGUGGCGAAGGCGGCCUUCUGGACUGACACUGACACUGAGGUGCGAAAGCGUGGGUAGCAAACAGGAUUAGAUACCCCGGUAGUC
This 464-nucleotide ribosomal RNA is filed under the name Vreelandella stevensii. Its description in RNAcentral is "partial 16S ribosomal RNA". It matches the Rfam family "Bacterial small subunit ribosomal RNA", at positions 338 to 795 of the family's 1533-position model. The record is from RNAcentral. Lineage: Bacteria; Pseudomonadati; Pseudomonadota; Gammaproteobacteria; Oceanospirillales; Halomonadaceae.